RNAcentral lists this ribosomal RNA (433 nucleotides) under uncultured bacterium. RNAcentral's name for it is "partial 16S ribosomal RNA". It matches the Rfam family "Bacterial small subunit ribosomal RNA", at positions 29 to 507 of the family's 1533-position model. The record is from RNAcentral.
AACGAACGCUGGCGGCAUGCCUAACACAUGCAAGUCGAACGAGACCUUCGGGUCUAGUGGCGCACGGGUGCGUAACGCGUGGGAACCUGCCCUUAGGUUCGGAAUAACUCCCCGAAAGGGGUGCUAAUACCGGAUAAUGUCUUCGGACCAAAGAUUUAUCGCCUUUGGAUGGGCCCGCGUUGGAUUAGCUAGUUGGUAGGGUAAAAGCCUACCAAGGCGACGAUCCAUAGCUGGUCUGAGAGGAUGAUCAGCCACACUGGGACUGAGGCACGGCCCAGACUCCUACGGGACGCAGCAGUGGGGAAUAUUGGACAAUGGGCGAAAGCCUGAUCCAGCAAUGCCGCGUGAGUGAUGAAGGCCUUAGGGUUGUAAAGCUCUUUUACCCGGGAUGAUAAUGACAGUACCGGGAGAAUAAGCUCCGGCUAACUCCGUG